AGGGCCAGUGCACUUAGUGUGCUGUUAAUUACCCCACUUCAAGUGAAGCAAAACCCCUGUUAACUUAACAUAAUGGACUCUGUCACCACUUGUUCUCAGUAAAUGGGAUGGUUGUCAACACAAGAGAUACAUAUCUAAGGAUUACUUGGUGAUGUCUUAUGAAAACAGUGCAAGAACAAGUGUAAAUUUUAAUUACGAUAAGAUGGAGAAGAAAUUUGAUUGAUUAAAGCUUGGGAAUCAAUGUAAUUGAUCCAUGUCUAGGAGUCUAAAGGCAGCUCUGGGAAGCUGUACACUGGAUGUAUUAAAGGCCAUGCACACCCUCACAGGUGUUUUCACUUAUUCUGUCUGAUUAGACUGUUCCUCAGGAUUGAGAAUUGAGUGAAAUAACAUUGGAAUUAUGUUAAAACUAAAUGAACCAACAAGAAUGAUUAAAGUGUGAUAAAUGAUAAGAGUGAUAAAACUCAACCACUUGAAGGGCACAGUCACACAUGCAUGAAAUUAGCGAAUUAAAUGAGACAAUUUUGGAGUUAAACUUUGCUGAACUUUGAUGAAAAUUUCGCCUCGGCAGGCAAUGGUCACACCCCGAAUUCAUGUGACCAACAGGUGCAACAAGUCUAAAACGCUGGUCAGAGUGAAGUCAACCAAACAGCAUCUGUGGAUAUGAUCUCCAGUAGGACCAAUUAAGCACAAUUAAGUGAAAACACCUGUGUAGGCACACCACAGGUGUGUAGAGCUUUUAAGAAAUCUGGAUACCUGUAGGCCUUGUGGCCAAUUUGCCAUGAUGGAAAAUUACAUCAAGAAAAUCCCCUUCACCCCAAAAAAUGGUUAAUAGAGGACUUCAAAGUGCUAACAAGCGAAUCACAAACUUUUUGUCAGUGAAGAUCUUACGCAGAGUAACUGCAGGAGAGAGGGAGAGAGUCUGCCCACUAGGCCAGCAUCUCUGGACCUCUGCCAUGAAGAGGCCACUUUCUGGCUCCAGUGGUGUGUGCCGAAAAAUCCCUACUUGAACUCAGCGGACCCUCCAGCUUCAUGAGAAUGCAGUUUCUGGCUAAAGGGUUGCACAUUUGAAUCCAAAUGCUGGCUGGUAGAGGCAACAACAUACACUGAAGUACAAAGAGCAGGAGGCAGCGGCAGCAGCAGGAGGAGGCUGAUGGAGAGGGCCACCUGAACAAACCCAGUGUGGGACCAGGCAGCCAGGACAGCCAGGCCCAGCCAGAUUUAUGACCCUCCACCCCUCUUUUCCCACACAGAGGCCUCUCUCUGGAGCUUCUGGAUGUAUUAGAUCCUGUCUAUUACUUUUUGUCACCUUUGUCUACCUUUCCUUCCGUUCCCUCUCCUGUCACACUUUCACAUUCCUCUUUAUUUAUGUCCAUCUAUCUUCCCCCUUCCUCUAUUUGAAUAUCUUGGUAUCUCUUUCUCUUUGUCUCCCCCUCCCUUUCUCCCAGACAUCCUGGCCAGCUGUUCAUCCAGACAGAGUGUCUACAGCUGUCUGUGCAAAGCUGAGUUGCAGCUCCAGAGACACACUUUCCCAGCAUCCACCGUCUGGAUCUGUUUCUGCCCUGGGGCAGGCCUACUUCCACACUUCCUCAGCAGAAAAAAGUGGGAGCUACAUUAGAAGAAUGUGUCUUUUCAUCAAGACUGGUGCUGCAUGAAUAUUUCAAACAGGCAACAUGAUUCCUCAGUGCCACUCGACACAAAGGAGAGGUCUCCCGGAGAGCGAGCAGAGGUGAAAUCUCAGAUUGGAACUUGGCUUCCAGGCACCACCUGCUCGCAGUGACAGACAGGCAGACAAAGCCUUGGAAAAGGUGCCGUGACAGAGGUUUGGUUAAACCCUAUCUGACCACGUCUGCAUGUAUCAGUGCCAGGAUUGCCACUGGAAUUCACUUUGCUGUGGAAAACCAUAAGUACAAGCCCAGGCAUGUGCUUGCAUUGUUGAUUGUGUGCAUGGAUGGAGAGGAUGGGUGAGCCUGUGGACAUACCAGGCAUUCCAAGUCAGCAAUAAAGCCUAAUUGAAUGUGGGGGAUAAAGUCAGGAUGUGCUGAGUGAUACCUGGGCAGCUAGGACCUAGAAAGUGGGACAGAGGUUUAGGAUGCUUGAGAGGUACUGACACUACUUUAGGUGAAAAGAGGGGAGAGAUUAAGCGAGAGUGACAACUUUGCCCCAUUUUGUGGUCAAACCAACAUUAACUAGGUUGUGCUCCAGUUUUGACUCAGAAAUAGGUAAUUAUGCCCUCAAAAGUGCAGGAUAUAACACACUCUGAAAAGAUGUGAAUUUACCCCAGUUGUUCACUCUCUGCCAAGCAAGUGGAUUGGCUUAAUAAGACUUGAGUGGCUGUGCUCAAUGGUUCUCUAAGUGAAUGUAUAUCAAACAUUUCUGGCAAAUGGUAGUGAUUUUUGUACUGUAUUACUGCCAACACAUUGUCAUAUUGUUAUUAUACAUGUUCAUGGUGGCGACCCUGGAUGUCACGUUGGUAUGAUAUCUCCACAUUUGUUUGGGUUUAGAAACCUUUCCAAUGUGCCGGUUAAAGCACUGGCUAAACACAGACUUUACAGAUCCAAGGCAGAUAGCAGAUACACGUUUACACUUAGUUUUGAAAUGGAGGGAACAAAAUGUUCUUUCAAACCUUCUGCAAAGAAGGAAAUGUCCAAAUGUCUACUCCAAUUGUCCACAACCGUGGUUCCCAACGUUCUAGUCUGUGACCACAUGAAAAGCAAAGUCUACUCACAGUCCUCAACAUAGGUUGGAGCAGUUCAGCCAAAAGAACUUCUCAGACUGCUUCUUUUGAAUUAUUUUAGAAGGCUAAAGAGGUAAAACUAUUCGGUAUUUUGAGAAAACAAGAAGUGUGAUAUUGUACUUUAAGGCAAGUGUCGUCACAGACUGGAUUAGAUUCAGAGAUUUGAGGGGAGGGGAGCAGGAAAGCUUUCAGAACCCUAAAUGUGUACUUCAUUGUGGCAUUAGAAAAAUUGUGUUCAUUAAGUAGAUACUGAGAUGUUUCACCAAUGUGAGUCUGAGGUCAGAA
This is a long non-coding RNA of Scatophagus argus, 3019 nucleotides long. RefSeq lists it as uncharacterized. The transcript has 5 exons. Lineage: Eukaryota; Metazoa; Chordata; Actinopteri; Scatophagidae. The record is from RefSeq and is a predicted model, not a curated record.